UACGAAGGGGGCUAGCGUUGGUCGGAAUCACUGGGCGUAAAGCGCGCGUAGGCGGACUGAUAAGUCAGGGGUGAAAGCCCGGGGCCCAACCUCGGAAUUGCCUUUGACACUAUCAGUCUAGAAUCUCGGAGGGGGUAGCGGAAUUCCAAAUGUAGGGGUGAAAUCCGUAGAUAUUUGGAGGAACACCGGUGGCGCAGGCGGCUACCUGGACGAGAAUUGACGCUGAGGCGCGAAAGCGUGGGGAGCAAACAGG
RNAcentral lists this ribosomal RNA (253 nucleotides) under uncultured bacterium. Its description in RNAcentral is "partial 16S ribosomal RNA". It matches the Rfam family "Bacterial small subunit ribosomal RNA", at positions 524 to 776 of the family's 1533-position model. The record is from RNAcentral.